AACGCUAGCUACAGGCUUAACACAUGCAAGUCGAGGGGAAACGACAUCGAAAGCUUGCUUUUGAUGGGCGUCGACCGGCGCACGGGUGAGUAACGCGUAUCCAACCUGCCCACCACUUGGGGAUAACCUUGCGAAAGUAAGACUAAUACCCAAUGAUAUCUCUAGAAGACAUCUGAAGGAGAUUAAAGAUUUAUCGGUGAUGGAUGGGGAUGCGUCUGAUUAGCUUGUUGGCGGGGUAACGGCCCACCAAGGCGACGAUCAGUAGGGGUUCUGAGAGGAAGGUCCCCCACAUUGGAACUGAGACACGGUCCAAACUCCUACGGGAGGCAGCAGUGAGGAAUAUUGGUCAAUGGACGAGAGUCUGAACCAGCCAAGUAGCGUGAAGGAUGACUGCCCUAUGGGUUGUAAACUUCUUUUAUAAAGGAAUAAAGUGGUCCACGUGUGGAUUUUUGUAUGUACUUUAUGAAUAAGGAUCGGCUAACUCCGUGCCAGCAGCCGCGGUAAUACGGAGGAUCCAAGCGUUAUCCGGAUUUAUUGGGUUUAAAGGGAGCGUAGAUGGAUUUUUAAGUCAGUUGUGAAAGUUCGGGGCUCAACCCCGUAAUUGCAGUUGAUACUGGAUAUCUUGAGUACAGUUGAGGUAGGCGGAAUUCGUGGUGUAGCGGUGAAAUGCUUAGAUAUCACGAAGAACUCCGAUUG
RNAcentral lists this ribosomal RNA (696 nucleotides) under uncultured bacterium. RNAcentral describes it as "bacterial SSU rRNA". It matches the Rfam family "Bacterial small subunit ribosomal RNA", at positions 32 to 715 of the family's 1533-position model. The record is from RNAcentral.